UACGAAGGGGGCUAGCGUUGUUCGGAAUUACUGGGCGUAAAGGGCGCGUAGGCGGUGCCUCAAGUCAGGCGUGAAAGCCCCGGGCUCAACCUGGGAACCGCGCUUGAGACUGGAGUACUAGAGUUCGGGAGAGGAUGGUGGAAUUCCCAGUGUAGAGGUGAAAUUCGUAGAUAUUGGGAAGAACACCGAUGGCGAAGGCAGCCAUCUGGACCGACACUGACGCUGAGGCGCGAAAGCUAGGGGAGCGAACGGG
Molecule: ribosomal RNA, 253 nt
Filed under: uncultured bacterium
Lineage: Bacteria
Description: partial 16S ribosomal RNA
Rfam family: Bacterial small subunit ribosomal RNA
Source: RNAcentral